UACACUCCUACGGGAGACAGCAGUGGGGAAUUUUGGACAAUGGGCGAAAGCCUGAUCCAGCAAUGCCGCGUGCAGGAUGAAGGCCUUCGGGUUGUAAACUGCUUUUGUACGGAACGAAAAAGCUCCUUCUAAUACAGGGGGCCCAUGACGGUACCGUAAGAAUAAGCACCGGCUAACUACGUGCCAGCAGCCGCGGUAAUACGUAGGGUGCGAGCGUUAAUCGGAAUUACUGGGCGUAAAGCGUGCGCAGGCGGUUAUGUAAGACAGAUGUGAAAUCCCCGGGCUCAACCUGGGAACUGCAUUUGUGACUGCAUGGCUAGAGUACGGUAGAGGGGGAUGGAAUUCCGCGUGUAGCAGUGAAAUGCGUAGAUAUGCGGAGGAACACCGAUGGCGAAGGCAAUCCCCUGGACCUGUACUGACGCUCAUGCACGAAAGCGUGGGGAGCAAACAGGAUUAGAAACCCCAGUAGUCCCAUGAU
This 478-nucleotide ribosomal RNA is filed under the name uncultured organism. RNAcentral describes it as "partial 16S ribosomal RNA". It matches the Rfam family "Bacterial small subunit ribosomal RNA", at positions 332 to 801 of the family's 1533-position model. The record is from RNAcentral.